CCUACGGGCGGCAGCAGUGAGGAAUAUUGGUCAAUGGGCGCGAGCCUGAACCAGCCAAGUCGCGUGAAGGAUGACUGCCCUACGGGUUGUAAACUUCUUUUAUAAAGGAAUACAGUGAUGCACGUGUGCCUUUUUGUAUGUACUUUAUGAAUUCGGAUCGGCUAACUCCGUGCCAGCAGCCGCGGUAAUACGGAGGAUCCGAGCGUUAUCCGGAUUUAUUGGGUUUAAAGGGAGCGUAGAUGGGUUGUUAAGUCAGUUGUGAAAGUUUGCGGCUCAACCGUAAAAUGGCAAUUGAUACUGGCAGUCUUGAGUACAGAUGAGGAAGGUGGAAUUCGAGGUGUAGCGGUGAAAUGCUUAGAGAUAACGAAGAACUCCGAUUGCGAAGGCAGCUUACUAAACUGCCACUGACAUUGAUGCUCGAAAGUGUGGGUAUCAAACAGGAUUAGAUACCCUUGUAGUC
RNAcentral lists this ribosomal RNA (460 nucleotides) under uncultured bacterium. Its description in RNAcentral is "partial 16S ribosomal RNA". It matches the Rfam family "Bacterial small subunit ribosomal RNA", at positions 338 to 795 of the family's 1533-position model. The record is from RNAcentral.